AAUCAACGCUGGCGGCGUGCCUAACACAUGCAAGUCGAACGCGAAAGCCCCGCAAGGGGUAAGUAGAGUGGCAAACGGGUGAGUAACACGUGGGUGACCUGCCUUCGAGUGGGGGAUAACGUCCCGAAAGGGACGCUAAUACCGCAUGACAUCCUGCUUUUGAAAAAGCGGAGAUCAAAGCUGGGGAUCGCAAGACCUAGCGCUUGAAGAGGGGCCCGCGCCUGAUUAGCUAGUUGGUGAGGUAACGGCUCACCAAGGCGACGAUCAGUAUCCGGCCUGAGAGGGCGGACGGACACACUGGGACUGAGACACGGCCCAGACUCCUACGGGAGGCAGCAGUGGGGAAUUGUUCGCAAUGGGCGCAAGCCUGACGACGCAACGCCGCGUGGAGGACGAAGAGCUUCGGGUCGUAAACUCCUGUCGAGCGGGACGAACGCUUCGCGGAUGAAUAAGCCGCGGAAUUGACGGUACCGCUAAAGGAAGCCCCGGCUAACUCCGUG
Molecule: ribosomal RNA, 500 nt
Filed under: uncultured bacterium
Lineage: Bacteria
Description: partial 16S ribosomal RNA
Rfam family: Bacterial small subunit ribosomal RNA
Source: RNAcentral